Molecule: ribosomal RNA, 492 nt
Filed under: uncultured bacterium
Lineage: Bacteria
Description: partial 16S ribosomal RNA
Rfam family: Bacterial small subunit ribosomal RNA
Source: RNAcentral
AGUGAACGCUGGCGGUAGGCCUAACACAUGCAAGUCGAACGGCAGCACAGUAAGCGCUUGCUCUUACGGGUGGCGAGUGGCGGACGGGUGAGGAAUACAUCGGAAUCUACUUUUUCGUGGGGGAUAACGUAGGGAAACUUACGCUAAUACCGCAUACGACCUACGGGUGAAAGCAGGGGAUCUUCGGACCUUGCGCGAUUGAAUGAGCCGAUGUCGGAUUAGCUAGUUGGCGGGGUAAAGGCCCACCAAGGCGACGAUCCGUAGCUGGUCUGAGAGGAUGAUCAGCCACACUGGAACUGAGACACGGUCCAGACUCCUACGGGAGGCAGCAGUGGGGAAUAUUGGACAAUGGGCGCAAGCCUGAUCCAGCCAUACCGCGUGGGUGAAGAAGGCCUUCGGGUUGUAAAGCCCUUUUGUUGGGAAAGAAAAGCGGCAGGUUAAUACCCCGCUGUUCUGGCGGUACCCAAAGAAUAAGCACCGGCUAACUUCGUG